This 82-nucleotide transfer RNA is filed under the name Penaeus chinensis. Its description in RNAcentral is "tRNA-Leu". It matches the Rfam family "tRNA". Rfam says of the family: Transfer RNA (tRNA) molecules are approximately 80 nucleotides in length. The record is from RNAcentral. Lineage: Eukaryota; Metazoa; Arthropoda; Malacostraca; Decapoda; Penaeidae.
GGUAGCGUGGCCGAGCGGUUUAAGGCGCUGGUUUUAAGCACCAGUCUCUUCGGAGGCGUGGGUUCGAAUCCCACCGCUGCCA